Small nuclear RNA from Sceloporus undulatus (fence lizard), 107 nucleotides. The record is from RefSeq and is a predicted model, not a curated record. Lineage: Eukaryota; Metazoa; Chordata; Lepidosauria; Squamata; Phrynosomatidae.
GUGCUCACUUUGGCAGCACAUAUACUAAAAUUGGAACGACACAGAGAAGAUUAGCAUGGCCCCUGCGCAAAAUAGGGAUAGGAGAGAAAGUAGUCAGCCCUUCUUAU